CUGCAGCUCAAGUGGUGACCACUAUUAUUGGGCCUAAAACGUUCGUAGCCGGUUUGGUAAAUGCCUGGGUAAAUCGUGUAGCUUAACUAUACGAAUUCCGGGUAGACUGCCAAACUUGAGACCGGGAGAAGCUAGAGGUACUCCUGGGGUAGAGGUGAAAUUCUGUAAUCCUGGGGGGACCACCAGUGGCGAAGGCGUCUAGCUAGAGCGGGUCUGACGGUGAGGGACGAAACCCUGGGGCGCGAACCGGAUUAGAUACCCGAGUAGUCC
RNAcentral lists this ribosomal RNA (270 nucleotides) under uncultured archaeon. RNAcentral's name for it is "partial 16S ribosomal RNA". It matches the Rfam family "Archaeal small subunit ribosomal RNA", at positions 477 to 747 of the family's 1478-position model. The record is from RNAcentral.